Molecule: ribosomal RNA, 308 nt
Filed under: uncultured bacterium
Lineage: Bacteria
Description: bacterial SSU rRNA
Rfam family: Bacterial small subunit ribosomal RNA
Source: RNAcentral
GAUGAACGCUAGCGGCAGGCUUAAUACAUGCAAGUCAAGGGGGUAGCAAUACAACCGGCGCACGGGUGAGUAACGCGUACACAACAUACCAUAUACUGGGGUAUAGCUUCGGGAAACUGAAGGUAAUCCCCCAUAAUAUUGCGGGAAGGCAUCUUUCUGCAAUUAAAGUUUCGACGGUAUAUGAUUGGUGUGCGUUUGAUUAGCUAGUUGGUAGGGUAACGGCCUACCAAGGCGACGAUCAAUAGCUGGCGUGAGAGCGCGACCAGCCACACUGGAACUGAGACACGGUCCAGACUCCUACGGGAGGC